Molecule: long non-coding RNA, 9076 nt
Organism: Neofelis nebulosa (Clouded leopard)
Lineage: Eukaryota; Metazoa; Chordata; Mammalia; Carnivora; Felidae
Exons: 4
Source: RefSeq, a predicted model, not a curated record
CUGUAGUUUAAAUACAUGUUUUAAAAACACCUGCCUAAACUCCCUCCGCCAUCCCCCGGCCCCACUUUUUCUAUCGCACAGCCCCUUUGAAAACCUUGCUGUGAAACAGUUCCCAGGUCCUCCUCUUCUUGGUAAGAGCAGUCGGCAGUACGUGUCUUAAAAGGCUGUGCCCCCAGCCAAAAUAAAUAAAUAAAUAAGUAAAAUCAAAAUAAAGUAUACAGUGCGUUAGAUUAUAAUCGCCAUGGAAAAACACAAGGUGAGAGGAGCACGGACGCUCACCGGAACCCAGUCUCUCCCACUUGGCCGUUCUCUUCCGUACAUUUUUGUCAUUAAAUGUGUAACUCAAGUGAAGGAUUUUUACUGUAUUUGCUAUAUUUGUUACGCAUUAGUUUUGCUUCCAACAGCAGUUGAAGCAGUCGGCACUCUCCAAACACAGGCUGCACAGCUUGCAGACAGGAGGUUUCUGGAACGUGCAGGCUGUUGUUGGACGUGGACAAUGAGGACCAGCUUUGCAUCUGUGUGUGAGAGCAAACACCGAGCUUCCUAAGAUUCUGUGUCCUCAGGGGCCGUUAGUGGAGAUGAGGUUCUAGGUCUGUCCCCACACGCCUCCCUUUGGCAUUGCUGUGGUCGUCUGCAGCUUUGAGUCAUUUUAAAGUUAAUUAGCGUGCUUCUAGGGAUGUUGGAAAAAAAAUGUUAAAAUCAUCACACAAAUCUCCAGGGAAAAAAACCUAUCUAAAAGACAAUUGAAAAAUAAAAUCUUUAGGGGCUUGCUCAUUUGGUUAAGGCUCAGACUUCGGAUCAGGGCCUGAUCUCACAGUUGGUAAGUUCGAGCCCCACGUCAGGCUCUGUGCUGACAGCUCGGAGCCUGGAGCCUGAUUCGGAUUCUGUGUCUCCCUCUCUCUCUGUCCUUCCCCUGCUAGCGUUCUCUCUCUCUCUCUCUCUCUCUCUCUCUCUCUUUCAAAAAUAAACACUAAAAAAUACACCCACACACAUAUAUAUGUAUAAAAUCUUUAAAAAUCUUUAAAAAUGACUAAAUAAAUAAAAGUCAACACAUUUCUGCCAGAACUUUCUUCUCUCUUCCCCAGUGUCUUCUCCCUUUGCUCACUUGGCUGUUAACCCUUCACGGUAGUAAAUCUUAGCUGUGACUAUAUUCCGGGUCCAGGAGGCCCUCCCAGUGAAACUUUUCACCAUGUUGGUCUCGGGGAUUCCCCACACAGUCACUGUUUAAAGGCUCCUGUCCCCUGCAGAUUCUUUCUUUCUUUCUUUUUUUAAUUUAAGAAUAGCAAAUGUGUUCCUUUUCUGGUGUUGCUGUAUUAAUGGACAUCUGAGGUCUCCAUAGCUGUUCGUCUCUUAUGUUUCCACCUGUUCUUGCUCAUGACCAGGCUUCCUAGUGCACUUGGCUGCAUUCUCUGUGAACCACUUACUGUCUUUAUUAUUUUUUUAAUUUUUGUAACGUUUAUUUAUUUUUGAGAAAGUGAGAGAGAGAGAGAGAGAGAGAGAGAGAGGAGAGACAGCGUGAGUGGGGGAGGGGCAGAAAGAGAGGGAGACACAGAAUCCGAAGCAGGCUCCAGGCUCUGAGACAUCAGCACAGAGCCCGACGCGGGGCUCGAACCCACGGACCAUGAGAUCAUGACCUGAGCCAGAUGCUUAACUGACUGAACCACCCAGGUGCUCCAGCCACUUACUGUCUUUAAAAAAUUAUUUGUGGAGAUUCGUUGAGGAAGACGUUUUCUUUCAGAGACAAUUUGCUUUUGUUUCUGUCAGAAGCCCGGGGUAAAACUAGGGUCUGGACAACUUAGGGUCAAUUCUCAGCUUAUGGUUCUUCUGGACCACCUAGGCGACAGGAAUUUGGGCUGGAAAUUUGGGCACUGUUUGCUUACAGGUUUUCAAGGCUUCACAUCUUCUCUUUCUGCUCCGGGCUUCUUUUUGUUUCUCUUCUAUCUUGGAGUCGGUGCUUCUGGUAUUUUGUGCCUUUCCCUUCCUUAGGAGUUUAUUCCAUCGCUUUGGUGGAACCAGCUGUCCGUUUGUUUCCCUAGAUAUAUGGAAGUGUGUAUUUUUUUCUGAAAGAUUUUUAAGUGUUUAUUUAUUUCUUUUGAGAAGGAGGGAGGGAGAGUGGGGGAGGGACAGAGAGAGAGGGAGAGAGAGUCCCAAGCAGACUCUAUAGUGUCAGUGUGGAGCCUGACUCCGGGCUCCAUCCCAAACUGUGAGAUCGUGACCCGAGCGGAAAUCAAGAAUUGGGCAGUCAACCAACUAAACCACCCAGGCGCCCUUGGAAGCAGGGAUUUUAUUUUAUUUUAUUUUAUUUUAUUUUAUUUUAUUUUAUUUUAUUUUAUUUUUAGAGAGAGAGAGACAGAGUAUGAGUGGGGGAGGUGCAGAGAGAGAAAGGGAGACAAAAUCUGAGGCAGGUUCCAGGCUCCAAGCCAUCAGCACAAAGCCAGACACGUGGCUCGAGCUCACGGACCAUGAGAUCAUGACCUGAGCCGAAGUCGGACGCUUAACUGACCGAGCCCCCCAGGCGCUCCAGAAGUAGGUGUUUUAAAGAACUUCCGUAGCCACAAAGUUUCUACCGUCAAGUUUGAUGGUUUGAACUGUAAAGAAUUCUGUUUACUUUUGUUUACAAUUUUGAAGUCAUCGUUCUAUCACUUUCUUGCUUUCAGUCUUAUGUCGAGAAAUCCAAGCCAUCCUGAUCCUGUGUCCUUCACCCUUUUUCUUCUUAUUCCAAUUCUCUUUAGCAGGGUGGCUGCUUCAGUGCCGUCACCUUGCGCUAAUUUGGCAGUGUUUCUCCGGAACUUCUGUUUCGCUCUGCUCCUCUGCGGGUGACAGCUCCUGGAUUCCUACAGCAGGUCCUUUCUCCCCGGCCUCGUAUUCCUUUCAUGCCUAAUUUGCUAUCGUCUUCGAGCACGGUGCAGGGGGUGGGCUUAGCUGAAGGUCAGGGGCACCGGCUGGGCUCCUCUGUCCCGCAGGACCCCGGGUCGGAGGCAGGAGGCCCCGCUCCUCCCCGGCAGAGGGAAAGGGAAGAGCUUCCCCACUCCUUGGAGCGCCAUUGGGUGUCAGUUCUGUUCCCCAAUCAGCAUGGGCCCCGAGGCUUCCCGCUGGUGACACGAAGCCAUGCCCCGAUGCUGAUGGUUCCCCGUGAGCCCUCAUCCCCACCUCAGCCAUUUUCACCGCCCCAUGGUCAACACUAAGAAAUACGCAAUUACUCCCUUUUAUCCUGUCAAGAUUUGAGCGAGAACUGCCAGGAUUUUGUAGACUCACCAGAUGUAGUUUCUGGGAGCUGGAGGCCUGACCUCACCGUGAUCCUCUCCAACUUCUGUUUUUCUUAUGAGCUAGCACUUUUCCAAGUUCAUUUCGUUGAGUGGUUCUCCUUUUCUUGUUUGGUUGCUGUUAGUAACUUUUACAUUUUUGUUUUCCGCCGGUCCCUCUUUUUCUUGGGGAGACGUGAGAGGGAGAGGGAAGUUUCUUUUGACUUUUUCUAGAUAGUGGGGCCCUGAAGAUUUCACCACCUUUAUCCGGAAUUUAAUGACACACAUUUUUUUUUUUUAAGUUUAUUUAUUUUUGACACAGAGAACGAGUGAGCGUGAGCUAGGGAGGGGUAGAGAGAGAGGGAGACACAGAAUCGGCAGCAGGCUCCAGGCUCUGAGCUGUCAGCACAGAGCCCGACGCGGGGCUCGAACCCACGAACCGUGAGACCGUGACCUGAGCUGAAGUCGGACGCUUAACUGACUGAGCCACCCGGGCGCCCCUAAUGACACACAUUUUUCAACUUUAGGUAGAUGUAUUGAACGUGUAGAAUAUACACCGUACAUUUUAAUAUUUAGAAUGCGGGCUUCACAUUUUUCAUCUCUUUCAAGUUAAAAAACACAAGUUACACGUGAUCCAUCUAUCAGGAUGCUUUAGCUUGCAAACAAAAAGACUAUUCAACUGCACCUAUUGCCAUGGUAAAAUUUUAUUGGCACAGGAAGGAGUAAACUCCAGAGGUAGGACAGCAUUUAGUGCAUUUUGAUACAAACUAUUUGACUUGGAAUAUAAGUCACAAAACGCGAAAUUCACCAUUUUAACUGUUUUAAAGGGUAGGGAUACCUUUUUCAAAGGGAACAACUCAACCCUAUUUGUCCUUUGAAGCAAGCUAAUUUUGAUAGGCCAGCGCUGCUGAAUCUCAGGGAUGCCCCCCACUGGUCACCUCUAUCAGCGAGAAUACCACGGAACAUGGAGAAAAAGCCUCCUUCUGCUGGAUUUCCUCCACCAAUUCGACUGGGAUGGGAAAGUGACCUUUUACCUGCAAAUGGCGGGCUUCCUCCUUUAUUCUGUUGUCAGUGAGGUUUCGAACAACAACAAUAAAAUAAUAAUGAAAUAAAUAAAUAAAUAAUACGAUAAUUAAAAAAAAGAGAAAAGUAACUUAAAGACUAAGGAUAGCACUUGAACUUGGAUUGCGUGGGUUUGUACACGGUGGUGAUAACACCGGUGGGGGCGAGAAAGCACAGGCAUUGUUCCGAGGCUUUCCCGGGCAUAUGUGUGGCUUCUCUGGGCACCUCUGACUUCUUAUUUUUAGUGACAUUCAAAUCAACAGACAAUUACUGUGUGCCUCUUAUUGCCAGGCAUGAUGCUAAGCACUGGAGAUUAAACAGGAUCAAUAUCUUGGGGCUCCUGGGUGGCUCAGUCGGUUAAGCCACUGACUUCGGCUCAGGUCAUGAUCUCAAGGUCUGUGAGUUCGAGCCCCACGUCGGGCUCUGUGCUGACAGCUCCGAGCCUGGAGCCUGCUUCCGAUUCUGUGUCUCCCUCUUUCUCUGCCCCUCCCUGCUCCUUCUCUCUCUCUCUCUCUCUCUCUCUCUCUCAAAACUAAGUAAACACUUUAAAAAUAAUAAAAACAUAAAAAAGAUCAAAUAUCUCAACAGGUGACAAAGUAUUUGCCUAAAAGGUUACCCUUUAAAAAUAUAAUUACUUAAUUGGAAUUCAAUUGCAAGUCAAUUUAGUUAACUGUAAAGCAACUAACUCGAGCAAUAUGACAUUAUUUUAGGAUAGUCUUCCAAUGCAAAGCAUUAAGUGUGUUGGCAUGUAAUCCUAUUAAAUAUUACUGCUCUGGGAAUCAUAGUCUAUUUUAAUGAAAAUAGAAAAUAAUACGCCUAGAAACAAACAACAGAAAUGAUAUUUUCUAGUUCAAAAUAUGUUUCAGCUCCACGAAUGGGCAUUCCCUGCUUGCUCGUGCGUCUAGCCUAUUGAUUGAUAAGGUUUGAAAACUUGACAGAUGUGUAUUUUCAGAUCUCACCUGGGGUUGAGGUCGCUACACUGAAACUCAGUUACGAAUGAAAACUUUUCAUGCUUUUCAUUUAUGCAGAUGGCCAACAGACACACGGAGAGAUGUUCACCAUCACUCGUCACCAGGGAAAUGUCAAUCGAACCACAAUGAGAUACCACCUCACACCUGUCAGAAUGGCUAAAAUUAACAACUCAGGAAACGACAGAUGUCGGCGAGGAGCUGGAGAAAGGGGAACCCUCGUGCACUGUUGGUGGGAAUGUAAACUGGUGCAGCCACUGUGGAAAACAGGGGAGAGGUUCCUCAAAAAAUUAAAAAGAGAACUACCCUAUGAUCCUGCAAUUCUGCUUCUGGGUAUCUAUCCAAAGCACACGAAAACACCGUCUCGAAAAGAUAGGUGCCCCCCCUGUUUGUUGGAGCAUGCUUUACUAUGGCCAAGAUAGCAUAGAUAAAGGAAUAUUACUCCGCCAUAAAAAAUAAUGGAACCUUGCCAUUUGCAAUGGCAUGGAUGGACCUCGGGGGCGUCAUGUUGAGUGAAGUAAGUCAGACAGAGAAAAAGAUACCUUGUUGAUCGAGCAUCAUACAGCAUUAACACUCGGGUCUAUUUCUGGCCUUUCUGUCCUGUUUCCUUCGUGGAUUCUCAGGUCUCAGAUUCUCCGGUUUGGCGUGGAGGACACGAAGGAGGGUGAGGGAGGGACAUGGUCCUCCAGUUCACGGCUAUCAAACAGAGAAGUGGGGCCGGUGUGGACACCCCGCCAUUCUCUAAUGGAGAUCUGCUUCGAGUGUUGCGUUUUUCUGAUGUUUCCGGUGUCCUACAGGAGGGUGUGUGGCUGAACAACGAGGACAGACUGCUCUACACUCUACGUCUUUGUAUAGACCCUGCUGGGCACGCGUACGUAUUAGAAGUGUGUUAAACCGUAACUUGUGACGUAGGAUGUGUUUAUGUCAGUGGCCAGUGGGUGUUGUCGUUUGAGUAACAGAUUUCACUUGCUUUCCUCCUUUUGGUGUUUGACAUUCUAGAGACCCCUUGAUAGGAACUGUACAUCGGAGCGACGUUUCUGUGAAACGAAACAGAUGCACCGACCACACGGAACCGAUCCUGUUUACCUUGCCCGCUGUUACGAGGACCGCGGCUUGCGAGGCAACGUAUAAACACGUUCUCUGCUCUGACCUUCUGAAUUAGAGAAGAGCUGCAUGGAGGGCUGAAGACGUCCUGAGCACCCGAGCGCGAGAAUACCUCAGCAUCAGAGAUCAGGGAGAAGAGCCACAUUUCCAUCGGACUGGACGGUCCCCUGCUGUCCACCGGCCUCGGCAUCUCUGCUCUCCAGACAUUUAAAGACACUGUCAACGGCAUCCGGGAUUGGCAAAGGACAGGUGCAGGUCAGAUCUGGCCGGUGGCCUCCCUUACCCAACCUCUCGUGGCAAGAAUGGCUUUUACAUUUUUAUUAUUAUCAGUUUAUACAUUUUUUUGAAGUUUAUUUAUUUUUGAGAGAGAGACAAAGAGAACGCGAGCAGGGGAGGGGCAGAAAGAGAGGGAGACAGAAUCCGAAGCAGGCUCCAGGCUCCGAGCUGUCAGCACAGAGCCGGAUGCGGGGCUCGAACCCACGAACCGUGAGGUCAUGACCUGAGUUGAAGUCGGACGCUCAACUGACUGAGCCACCCAGGUGCCCUGUUUUUACAUUUUCAAAGGGUUGUUAAACACACACACACACACACACACACACUGAACAAAGUAGGCCGUGCUCCAGAAAUUCUACAUGGCCCCCCAAACCUCCCAGUUUUACAUUUGUUUCCAUACAGAAAAAGUGUGCUGGUCUGUGUCGUAGAAAGUCUACAUUAUUCAAGGAGCUUACCAAGUAAGAGUGCCAGCAUCGUGCAUCGUCCUCUACCUGAAUUCCUUGCCAAGUCAGAGCAGGAGGAGAGUGCAGCCUUCCUCAUUAAGGAAAACGACAGAAACAAUGUAAUCGGAAGUUGGAAAGCACGGUGGAGUCAUAGGACUGAGCAGCUAUGGGGAGCUGAGCUACCCAGGUCUUAGGGAAAAGAAAUACAGGUCUCCAGACCCUCAGGGCCCACUGAGGCUGCCUGCGGUCAGACGCCUGCUACCUUCUGCCAUCCACACCUCCUCCGGGCAGCCAGAGAUUAGGUCUGGGCUUAUAUUAAAUCUCAGGUUAGGGGAACCUGGGUGGCUCAGUCAGUUGAGCGUCCGACUUCGGCUCAGGUCAUGAUCUCGCGGUUCGUGAGUUCGAGCCCCGUGUCAGGCUCUGUGCUGACAGCUCAGAACCUGGAGCCCGCUUCGGAUUCUGUGUCUCCCUCUCUCUCUGCCCCCUCCCCGCUCAUGCUCUGUCUCUCUCUGUCUCUCAAAGGUGAAUAAACGUUAAAAAAUUAAAUCUCAGGUUAAAUAUGAGCUAUUUGUCAUAAGCUUGCCCACUCUUCCUCUUUUCUAUAGAAUAAUGAGAGGAAGGAAACAAAAACCAUAAAAGGCAAACAGUUCUAUUUUUCUCUCACUGGAAGGAAUGCUACUACAUGAACUUUGUAAAAGGAUGAGUCUAUUCAAAAACGUUAUGUGCUUACCUAGCAGUAUUCGGUUCAAACAUCCAAACCCUUAGUUUCAAUGUGUGGUGCUCACUUUAAGUUCUCAAAAUUAUAUUAAGGUUUUAAUGGUUUUGAAAUUGUCCAUUUUCUCUCACGGAUGGCAAUGAGAAGGAGGUUUGUUGAUUUGUUUCAUCUUUGGGCAUCUCAAAUGGGGAUCUGGAUUUGAGUACACACGAAGGGAUUAAAAAUGCAUUAUUACUCAGCACACAAAACAAAUUUGACUCAGAAAUACAGAAAUAAAUGGAAAUCCGUCCUUUAUUUAUUUUUAAGAUUUUAUUUAUUUAUUCAUUUAUUCAUUUUAAACGUUUAUGUAUUUAUUCCGAGAGAGAGCGUGCACGCACCCAAUGCGUGUGAGCAGGGGAGGGGCAGAGAGGGAGAGAGGGAGAGAGAGAAUCCCAAGCAGGCUCUACACUGUUAGCACAAAGCCUGAUGUGGGGCUCAGACUCACAAAUCGUGAGAUCGUGACGUGAGCCAAAACCAAGAGUUGGAUGCCUAACCGACUAAGCCACCCAGGCGCCCCAAGAUUUUAUUUUUAAGUAAUCUCUGCACCCAACGUGGGGCUCGAACUCACAACCCAGAGAUCAAGAGUCACAUGCUCCACUGGCUGAGCCAGCCAGGUGCCCAUCUGUACUUCAUUUAUAAUAAACUUUUCCUUUUGGAAUAAUUUUAUUUGUGGAAAAGUUGCAAAGAUCGUUUGGACCAUGGCCGUGCCUCCUUGUCCCGGCUUUCCCUGACAUUAGCCCCUUAUAACCGCGGGGCCUUGAUCCCCAAACGUUGUCGUGGUCACAGCUCUGUGAACUACUCUACGGCCUUUGUUCAGACGUCACCGGCUCCUCCAUGGAUGCUCUUCUCCUGUCUCAGCGUCCAGUGCAGGACCCCGCGGUCACUCAGAGUCCCCUUCGUGUUCAACUGCACCAAUGACAAUAACGUCUUUAUGCUUGGGAUUUGAAGCAGGAAGACUGACCUCCUGCGUUUGAAGCUCCCUUUCCAAUCUGAUUUCCUUUGAUUCUAAUACAGAAAGACUACAUGAGAGAAAGAGACGAAAAUUUCCCCUGCUUAUGUUAAAGAGCUUUUAAGUAACCAGGGAUCGCCAGACGUCCAGCCCAUACUGACAGAAGGAAACCCUUAGCUAUCUUUCUUAGAGAUGCAAAACUCCUGUAACUGGCAAGUUCUUCCUACAUUCCAAAUUAAGUCCUUUCUGUGGCCGUGGUAAAAAUUAAAAAUGUAAUCGUG